Molecule: ribosomal RNA, 497 nt
Filed under: uncultured bacterium
Lineage: Bacteria
Description: partial 16S ribosomal RNA
Rfam family: Bacterial small subunit ribosomal RNA
Source: RNAcentral
GACGAACGCUGGCGGCGUGCCUAAUACAUGCAAGUUGAGCGCUGAAGGUUGGUACUUGUACCAACUGGAUGAGCAGCGAACGGGUGAGUAACGCGUGGGGAAUCUGCCUUUGAGCGGGGGACAACAUUUGGAAACGAAUGCUAAUACCGCAUAAAAACUUUAAACACAAGUUUUAAGUUUGAAAGAUGCAAUUGCAUCACUCAAAGAUGAUCCCGCGUUGUAUUAGCUAGUUGGUGAGGUAAAGGCUCACCAAGGCGAUGAUACAUAGCCGACCUGAGAGGGUGAUCGGCCACAUUGGGACUGAGACACGGCCCAAACUCCUACGGGAGGCAGCAGUAGGGAACCUUCGGCAAUGGACGAAAGUCUGACCGAGCAACGCCGCGUGAGUGAAGAAGGUUUUCGGAUCGUAAAACUCUGUUGGUAGAGAAGAACGUUGGUGGGAGUGGAAAGCUCAUCAAGUGACGGUAACUACCCAGAAAGGGACGGCUAACUACGUG